UUCCGGUUGAUCCCGCCGGACCUGACUGCUAUCGGAUUGAUACUAAGCCAUGCGAGUCUUUGCAGUAAUGCAAGGCGGACUGCUCAGUAACACGUAGUCAACUUAACCUAUGGAUGGGUAUAACCUCGGGAAACUGAGAAUAAUUCCCAAUAGAUCAUUUAUCCUGGAAUGGUUAGUGAUUGAAAUGAUUCGUCGCCAUAGGAUAGGACUGCGGCCUAUCAGCUUGUUGGUGAGGUAAAGGCCCACCAAGGCUAUUACAGGUACGGGCUCUGAGAGGAGAAGCCCGGAGAUGGGUACUGAGACAAGGACCCAGGCCCUAUGGGGCGCAGCAGGCGAGAAAACUUUGCAAUGUGCGAAAGCACGACAAGGUUAGUCCGAGUGAUUUCUGCUAAAGAGAUCUUUUGCUAGUUAUAAAACCACUAGUGAAUAAGGGGUGGGCAAGUUCUGGUGUCAGCCGCCGCGGUAAAACCAGCACCUCAAGUGGUCAGGAUGAUUAUUGGGCCUAAAGCAUCCGUAGCCGGCUCUGUAAGUUUUCGGUUAAAUCUAUGCGCUCAACGUAUGGGCUGCCGAAAAUACUGUAGAGAUAGGGAGUGGGAGAGGUAGACGGUACUCGGUAGGAAGGGGUAAAAUCCUUUGAUCUAUCGAUGACCACCUGUGGCGAAGGCGGUCUACCAGAACACGUUCGACGGUGAGGGAUGAAAGCUGGGGGAGCAAACCGGAUUAGAUACCCGGGUAGUCCCAGCUGUAAACGAUGCAGACUCGAUGAUGCAUUGGCAUAUAGCCAGUGCAGUGUCGCAGGGAAGCCGUUAAGUCUGCCGCCUGGGAAGUACGUACGCAAGUAUGAAACUUAAAGGAAUUGGCGGGGGAGCACCACAAGGGGUGAAGCCUGCGGUUCAAUUGGAGUCAACGCCGGG
Molecule: ribosomal RNA, 914 nt
Filed under: uncultured marine archaeon
Lineage: Archaea
Description: bacterial SSU rRNA
Rfam family: Archaeal small subunit ribosomal RNA
Source: RNAcentral